Molecule: long non-coding RNA, 649 nt
Organism: Candoia aspera
Lineage: Eukaryota; Metazoa; Chordata; Lepidosauria; Squamata; Candoiidae
Exons: 2
Source: RefSeq, a predicted model, not a curated record
UGACAAGAAGGAAAGAUCCUGCGUAUGCCAUCUGCAUUGAAUCACUUUGUCCUUAUGCUCUCCUACUACCAUAGUUGGUAGCUGCUUGGUCUGUGACUUUUAUUUUCAUGUCAUAUGAUCCUGUGAGAAGGUAAUGCGCUCCAGGGGAGAAGCGAACAGAACGGACAUCACUGGAAUGAGGAUGAUAACUCUGAACCAUUCGCCCACCACGAAUAUCAUAGAGCAUACAGCUGGAAUCUUCCUGUCCAGUAGCUAGAAGACGACCGCUAGGAUCUACAGCUACAGAUGCAACAGCACUGCCUGAAGAAAAAAACCCAUUAUAUACUGUAACCCUGGUUUCAAAUCAAGACUUUUAUGCAGAUUUUCUAAAAUAUUAGUCAAAACGUAGCCAGAUGCACUUACAGACAAUCAUAUUGUUAUUAACAUAGGAUCAAUUGUUCAAUAAUGUAAGGAGAUUUAAUUCUGUCUCUGCAAGUCUGAUAAAACUGGGAACACUUGACAUCUGAUUUGAGAAUGCUAAACAUACUUGUCAAUAAAAACAUAUAUCAGUCAAUGUUUUAAACUAGUUAUUCUAUAUAUUAAAAAAAAGGUCCUUCAUACAAUAUGAGAUUUAAACACUGGCCAUUAAAUAUACAAUUUACAAAAUAAA